CCCAGAGUGAGGGAGCGUCUACAAAACACCUGCCUCAAAAGUGUCACAGUCACGAAUGACAGGGAAAGACCAGGAAACCCACAGGCUGGGGAAGACUUCAGAGGCAUAAGAGCAGGAUGCGCUGUGGGUCCUGGGGGAGCGUGGACAUUCGUGGAUAAUGGUGAAAUCUGAAAGAAGUCUGUCAUUUCGGUGACAACAUUGUACUCAUGUUAAUUUCUCGGUUUUAAUAUUGUCCUUUGGGGAUGUGAGAUAAUAACAUCAGGGGAGCUCAUGUGAAGAGUUUAUGGACAAUCUCUAGUAUGUUUGCAUUCUUUUGUGUAAAUCUAAAAUUAUUUUAAGAUAAAAAGUGUUUUUGUUUUUGUUCUGCUUUUGUUCUACUCAGGAGGCAGAGGCAAGAGAAUUGCUUGAACCCAAGAGGUGGAGGUUUUGGUGAGCCAACACUGCCCCAUUGCCUGGGCAACAAGAGCGAAACUCCGUCUCAAAAAAAGAAAAAAAAAAAAAGCUUUCGUUAAAGCAUUUACAGUCCAUCACCUUAAGUGCAAGCACAUCGCUCGUAGCAUCGCUGAGAACUCCGCAAGGAUUAAAAACCAACAAAAAAGGAUGCAAAUGGCUUACCAGAAGAGAUUUACUAGUGGCGGGGGGAUUCAGUGAAUCCACUAUCUACUCUGAAAGAAAGAUGCUCUUCCAACCUCUCCUCUGUUGACUGAAAUCCACAGAUGUCGGAGCCAGCCCUCUGCAGUGCGGAUAUAGCCCCCAAAAUACAAAAUACUGGAGCCCCUGUGGUAAGGACGCUCAAGCAGUAGCCAUCAGAGAUGCUUUGAAUAAUCAACGUUCCACUAACACAGAAGUGGAGGUCCAGGAUGUCUUCUGUCUCUCGGCUGUUUACUUGAGAAACACCCAAAGCUGGCCCCUGCUGAGCUCGCAGGAAGACUUCACGUGUGGUAGGGCCCCUCUGUGCAGCCAAGGCCAACAGGUGAUGCUGCCACACAUUGUUAUCUUAUCCCUUGAUAACGAGAAGUAUUUGGAGAUGCGGAGAGCUCCAGCAUGGAUAGUGCAGGCUAAAGAGGCAGCUUAAAGAAGUGGUACCUGGGGACUGGCUCUGAGCCCCAAAGCCACGUGAGGUGAGAGCCUUUCACCAGGGGUGAGCCUGGUGACUCCACAGCUGUUAUGCCAGCAGAGGUCAAAGGGGGCAGUUCCUGAUUUGUCAACCAAUACCAUAUCCACAACAGCAGGAAAAAGGAAGUCCGUUUUUGUGAAGAAAAUGUAGACAAAGGGCAGCAAGAGGCUCCCAGCUCAGACAUUGGAAAGGAAUCAAAUAGGCCAUUUCUUUUUGUCUCCACUCUGUGUGUGCCCCGUCCCUCCCUUCUUUAGAUUCUCCAUACAUAGCUUGUCUUCCUAGACCUGAUCAGCUGGUCACAGCUAUAAGGUUGGCCAACAGAAUCUCUUCCCCCCCUCAACACAUGGAAAAUACCGAUCAGUAUUUUCUCUCUGAAAACCAUCUGCAUUAUAUCACUCUAUUGUUCAAGAACCAGUCUUGAGUCCUCACCGUCUUCUAAAAGUAUAAACUCUUUAGUCCAGUUCUCAAGAUCCUCCAUAAUCUAGUUUUACUGAUCU
Molecule: long non-coding RNA, 1614 nt
Organism: Papio anubis (olive baboon)
Lineage: Eukaryota; Metazoa; Chordata; Mammalia; Primates; Cercopithecidae
Source: Ensembl